Triticum dicoccoides is the source of this 1994-nucleotide long non-coding RNA. RefSeq lists it as uncharacterized. The record is from RefSeq and is a predicted model, not a curated record. The transcript is spliced from 3 exons. Lineage: Eukaryota; Viridiplantae; Streptophyta; Magnoliopsida; Poales; Poaceae.
UUCUCGCUCCCGAUCCAACUCCCUCCCGAGCAAAUUCAUCCCCUCCGGCCUCGACUCGGCCUCCUCUCCUAUGCCACUCGCCUUCUCCACAGCCGCCCGCCACACGCCGCCCGCCCACAGGUUGUCCGCCGCCGCUUCGAGGGCUAGCAUCCCCGCGUGCCUCCUUCGUUCCAGUACCCGAUUGGACUGCACGAGUGCCCCCACCGCACCAUCAGGGGGCACCGCGGGAGUACAGCCACCGCACCACCAGGGCACUACCACCGCGUGUGCCGGCGAUGCGUGAGCCGCCGCUUGUGCGGCACCGAUUGCCGCUUCCAACGAUGCAGGAGCCACUCAAUCCGGCGAGGAUGCCGGGCGCUGUCACCACUGAUUCUCAGGGUGUGCGUGCCGCAUCCGAAACUCCCCUAAUGUGCUCCUCCACUCCGCUUAUAACAUGUCGUUCAUCCAUGGCUCUCUGUUGCUAUGCGCCGUUGAGCUCUGGAGCCGUUGCCGUCGAAGCCCAUCGCCAGCCGUCCUCGGGUGGGCCGACGCCCAAACUCGGCUCCAGUGACAUCCCCGCUAGAGGUCCUCCUCCACCUCUUCUUCUAUUAGAGGUGUUGUCAAGAAUUUCAUCGCACCCACUGCUUUCCCUCCGAGGUAGUUGCCGCCUGCAGCCAUGCACAAGUGUCAUCACCUGCAUCUCCUCUGUGUGUUCCCGUCUCUCCAUGCCGCACGAGGAUGCAGUCAUCAUAUCUGUGAGUAGUGAUGUUAACCCCAUAAAAAGGACCGCAGGUGGACAUCUGCUAUAAAUAAUCAGGUACUUCUUUCUCAUUAUCAAAGUGAAAUGCUCAGUGAAACUAUCCAAUGGAUGGACUGGUUAUUUAACACUGAAUGAUCAGAGCUUUAUUCUCUUCUUUUCUCCUCUUCCAUCCACUAAAACAUCUGCAUUGCAUGCUUCUUACUUCUCUGAGUGCUUAAACAUAAAUAAGAAAACCGAAUUCUCUAUGGGCAUGAAUAAUCUUUCGAUUCAAACAGAAAAAUCAAAAUGUGGUUCCAGUUCCGGGAGGUAUGGCGUGGUUUCUUUGCUGGCAUGUGCAUGUGUUGUUUGUCUGUUGCCGGGUGGAUUGCACAGUGGUGGUGCCGGGAGCCAGGGGUCAUCAGAGAAGAGAGAUGCUGACGUCACGCAAAACGAGCCUUGCUUGGCAUUGACUGAAUCCUCCACACAUUAUUUGUUGGCAAUUGAGCCUUGCUUGGCACGUGCUUGGCAUUGACUGAAUCAUACAGUGGCGAGCUUGUAUCCCGGCCAACCUCUUCAUCUUGAUUUUUUAGAAGCUAAAUCACUUCAAAAGGAGGCCUGGAUUACCUUAUAUUCAGCAUUGAUCACACAGACUAGAUUUUUUGAAGAUGGAAAAGUCUGACAAUUGAAAACCUAUCCGAGAAUCAUGCUUGUUUGUGUGCUGCAAUUUGCACCUAGAGAGGUCUCCUGCCAUAUACGCUCGCCAAGAUCUUUGUCGUAGUCAUUAGGACGCGGGAUGGCAUUGUCGGGAUACACGCUCGCCAAGGUCUCCUGCCAUAUAGGCCCGUGAGAAAUCCAGGGCGUGUUACUCUGCAGCAUCAUGACCACAAUGGUGCCUUGGUUUUGAAAAUACAAUUUGAAUGGCAUCACAACAUUUAGUAGACAUUUUUUUCAACAGUUGCUUUAUUUUUUAUACCGUGUGAAUCUCCCUUGGUUAACGCUUGAGACGUGUGUUACACAUGAUUAAUUUUUCGCGACUUAUUGUUGUUGCUGUUGCCCGUGAGGUACUUGAAAAAAUUCUCGGCAUGUGGCGCUCUUCAAUGACGUGUUCUCUUUUGAAGAGCAAGCAGACAAAGCAUGAGAGCGCUAUGAUCCUACAAAUUCUUGACUGCUUCUAUACCCGUGUAUUUGUUUUAUCUUUUAUUUUUGACUUAUUUUAUUCUCUUGAGUACUCCCUCCGUUCCGAAUUACUUGUCUUAGAUUUGUCUAGAUACGGAGG